UUACACAUGCAGUCGAGCGAGAAGACUUUGACAGAUCCUUCGGGUGAUGGAAAAGUUGGAAAGCGGCGGACGGGUGAGUAACGCGUGGGCAACCUGCCCCAUACAGGAGGAUAGCCACUGGAAACGGUGAUUAAUACUCCACAAGACCACAGCACCAUAUGGUGCAGAGGUAAAAACUCCGGUGGUAUGGGAUGGGCCCGCGUCUGAUUAGCUAGUUGGUAAGGUAACGGCUUACCAAGGCGACGAUCAGUAGCCGACCUGAGAGGGUGAUCGGCCACACUGGAACUGAGACACGGUCCAGACUCCUACGGGAGGCAGCAGUGGGGAAUAUUGCACAAUGGGCGAAAGCCUGAUGCAGCAACGCCGCGUGAACGAUGAAGGCCUUCGGGUUGUAAAGCUCUUUUCUUGGAGAAGAAUAAAUGACGGUAUCCAAGGAAUAAGCCCCGGCUAACUACGUGCCAGCAGCCGCGGUAAUACGUAGGGGGCAAGCGUUAUCCGGAAUCACUGGGCGUAAAGGGAGUGUAGGCGGUCAAGCAAGUCAGAGGUGAAAGGCAUCGGCUCAACCGGUGUAAGCCUUUGAAACUGUUUGACUUGAGUGCAGGANAGUAAGUGGANUUCCUAGUGUAGCGGUGAAUGCGUANAUNUUAGGAGGAACCCCGUGGCGANGCGAUUACUGGACUGUACUGAC
RNAcentral lists this ribosomal RNA (688 nucleotides) under uncultured bacterium. RNAcentral's name for it is "bacterial SSU rRNA". It matches the Rfam family "Bacterial small subunit ribosomal RNA", at positions 49 to 744 of the family's 1533-position model. The record is from RNAcentral.